Molecule: ribosomal RNA, 490 nt
Filed under: uncultured bacterium
Lineage: Bacteria
Description: partial 16S ribosomal RNA
Rfam family: Bacterial small subunit ribosomal RNA
Source: RNAcentral
AUUGAACGCUGGCGGCAGGCCUAACACAUGCAAGUCGAACGGUAACAGGAAGAAGCUUGCUUCUUUGCUGACGAGUGGCGGACGGGUGAGUAAUGUCUGGGAAACUGCCUGAUGGAGGGGGAUAACUACUGGAAACGGUAGCUAAUACCGCAUAACGUCGCAAGACCAAAAAGGGGGACCUUCGGGCCUCUUGCCAUCGGAUGUGCCCAGAUGGGAUUAGCUAGUAGGUGGGGUAACGGCUCACCUAGGCGACGAACCCUAGCUGGUCUGAGAGGAUGACCAGCCACACUGGAACUGAGACACGGUCCAGACUCCUACGGGAGGCAGCAGUGGGGAAUAUUGCACAAUGGGCGCAAGCCUGAUGCAGCCAUGCCGCGUGUAUGAAGAAGGCCUUCGGGUUGUAAAGUACUUUCAGCGGGGAGGAAGGGAGUAAAGUUAAUACCUUUGCUCAUUGACGUUACCCGCAGAAGAAGCACCGGCUAACUCCGUG